Molecule: ribosomal RNA, 303 nt
Filed under: uncultured bacterium
Lineage: Bacteria
Description: partial 16S ribosomal RNA
Rfam family: Bacterial small subunit ribosomal RNA
Source: RNAcentral
AGCAGCCGCCGCGGGAAUACAGAGGAUGCAAGCGUUAUCCGGAAUGAUUGGGUGUAAAGCGUCUGUAGGUGGCUUUUCAAGUCCGCCAUCAAAACCCCGGGCUCAACCCUGGACAGGCAGUGGAAACUACCAAGCUGGAGUACGGUAGGGGCAGAGGGAAUUUCCGGUGGAGAGGUGAAAUGCGUUGAGAUUGGAAAGAACACCAACGGUGAAAGCGCUCUGCUGGGCCGACACUGACACUAAGAGACGAAAUCUAGGGGAGCAAAUGGGAUUAGAUACCCCGGUAGUCCCUGUCUCUUAUAC